This 1171-nucleotide long non-coding RNA is filed under the name Fukomys damarensis (Damara mole-rat). RNAcentral describes it as "lncRNA (ENSFDAG00000026873.1)". The record is from RNAcentral. Lineage: Eukaryota; Metazoa; Chordata; Mammalia; Rodentia; Bathyergidae.
UUUGGUCCACCAUCUUUAGCCCUUGGCUUUUGUUCUUGAGUUCACUUCAUGGUUCAGAAGGGCUGCCGGAGCUCCAGCCAUUGACAUCCCAUCUCUAGGUAGCAGAAAUAGAAAAGAGAAAUAGAAGGCUCUGUCCUUCAGCUGAGUCGGUUUCCUUUAAACAGUUUUUCAAAACUCCCAGAUUUUACUUGUUUCUGUGUCACUCCUUGAACCCAGGUGCUGGGCCUCAGGUUGCCAGGAGGCUUGGAAUGAUGGUCUUCUGCUGAGUUCUCUGGGUAAGAAAGAAGGAAGCGUGGCUCAGCUCAGGAAUGAAAACAUGCCAACGGGAGCCAAGAUCAUGAACGCCUUUUGUGCAGGCGGGGAAGCAAAGCCAGAGGUGCUCGGGGGACGGCACUGCACGCGUCACCUGGGCGCUCGUCACCUGCCGGCUCGGGCCUGAGAGAAUACCCCAGGACAGAAACCAAACCAAUGGAGAGCAGCAAUUGAAGGGAUUCGUGUUCUAGUCUGCUGCUACUGUAAGAGCCUGACUGAACCAGAGCGACUCCAUGUUGACCAGCAAACGACCUAGAGACUGUCGUGCCCCCCCCAUCCCUUAUAGGAUAACGAAUGAUUCAUUGUGAAUUGUUAGGUAACUGCUUUGAAGUAGCUGGGAAACUAAAUGGAAACUGUAGUGAACACAGAGACCCAACACAAAUCACACCACUCCUUACUUGCCUGUAGUUGAAUGUUCUGAACAUUAUAAUCUAAGUUGUAAAUGGAAUAAUGGAUAAUCGAUCUGCUGAUCAUUAGUAUGUGACGGUCAAGUAUAUGCUUGAAGACCACUAGCUCAGAUCAACUGAUUCUUUGCCUUUGUCCUCUUCCUGUAAGUUUUAAGUGUAACCCCCCCCUCAGCCCUAUAUAAAAUGGCCUCUGUUUCUGAGCUAGCCGCCUCUCUGAGCUACUUGGCUUGGGGAGUGCCGUCUGGCCAGACUAAUAAAGGUCUAUUUGCCAACUUGCCUGGUGUGUUCCUUCCUGGGUGACUCUUGCUGUCCAACAAGCUCCUGGAGCCUCGCUGAGCUUCUGAGCCCAGCAUCGUGGAAGCCUCUUGGCUGUUCACGCUCCAGGAGUAAAAGUGAGACUUAAGUCUUACACUACCCAUAUGGGGGAAUCACUUGCCCCAAGCACUUCAGUU